AGAGCGAACGCUGGCGGCAGGCUUAACACAUGCAAGUCGAGCGGGCGUAGCAAUACGUCAGCGGCAGACGGGUGAGUAACGCGUGGGAACGUACCUUUUGGUUCGGAACAACACAGGGAAACUUGUAGCUAAUACCGGAUAAGCCCUUACGGGGAAAGAUUUAUCGCCAAAAGAUCGGCCCGCGUCUGAUUAGCUAGUUGGUGAGGUAACGGCUCACCAAGGCGACGAUCAGUAGCUGGUCUGAGAGGAUGAUCAGCCACAUUGGGACUGAGACACGGCCCAAACUCCUACGGGAGGCAGCAGUGGGGAAUAUUGGACAAUGGGCGCAAGCCUGAUCCAGCCAUGCCGCGUGAGUGAUGAAGGCCCUAGGGUUGUAAAGCUCUUUUGUGCGGGAAGAUAAUGACGGUACCGCAAGAAUAAGCCCCGGCUAACUUCGCGUCAGCAGCCGC
RNAcentral lists this ribosomal RNA (449 nucleotides) under uncultured bacterium. Its description in RNAcentral is "SSU rRNA". It matches the Rfam family "Bacterial small subunit ribosomal RNA", at positions 26 to 518 of the family's 1533-position model. The record is from RNAcentral.